GACGAACGCUGGCGGCGUGCCUAAUACAUGCAAGUAGAACGCUGAAGGAGGAGCUUGCUUCUCUGGAUGAGUUGCGAACGGGUGAGUAACGCGUAGGUAACCUGCCUGGUAGCGGGGGAUAACUAUUGGAAACGAUAGCUAAUACCGCAUAAUAGUAGAUGUUGCAUGACAUUUGCUUAAAAGGUGCAAUUGCAUCACUACCAGAUGGACCUGCGUUGUAUUAGCUAGUUGGUGGGGUAACGGCUCACCAAGGCGACGAUACAUAGCCGACCUGAGAGGGGGAUCGGCCACACUGGGACUGAGACACGGCCCAGACUCCUACGGGAGGCAGCAGUAGGGAAUCUUCGGCAAUGGACGGAAGUCUGACCGAGCAACGCCGCGUGAGUGAAGAAGGUUGUCGGAUCGUAAAGCUCUGUUGUAAGAGAAGAACGAGUGUGAGAGUGGAAAGUUCACACUGUGACGGUAGCUUACCAGAAAGGGACGGCUAACUACGUG
Molecule: ribosomal RNA, 495 nt
Filed under: uncultured bacterium
Lineage: Bacteria
Description: partial 16S ribosomal RNA
Rfam family: Bacterial small subunit ribosomal RNA
Source: RNAcentral